RNAcentral lists this ribosomal RNA (253 nucleotides) under uncultured bacterium. Its description in RNAcentral is "partial 16S ribosomal RNA". It matches the Rfam family "Bacterial small subunit ribosomal RNA", at positions 524 to 776 of the family's 1533-position model. The record is from RNAcentral.
UACGUAGGGGGCAAGCGUUAUCCGGAUUUACUGGGUGUAAAGGGAGCGUAGACGGUUAUGCAAGUCUGAAGUGAAAGCCCAAGGCUCAACCAUGGGACUGCUUUGGAAACUGUAAAACUGGAGUGCAGGAGAGGUAAGCGGAAUUCCUAGUGUAGCGGUGAAAUGCGUAGAUAUUAGGAGGAACACCAGUGGCGAAGGCGGCUUACUGGCCUGUAACUGACGUUGAGGCUCGAAGGCGUGGGGAGCAAACAGG